RNAcentral lists this ribosomal RNA (305 nucleotides) under uncultured bacterium. RNAcentral's name for it is "bacterial SSU rRNA". It matches the Rfam family "Bacterial small subunit ribosomal RNA", at positions 338 to 642 of the family's 1533-position model. The record is from RNAcentral.
CCUACAGGGGGCAGCAGUGGGGAAUAUUGCACAAUGGGGGAAACCCUGAUGCAGCGACGCCGCGUGAGUGAAGAAGCGUUUCGGCGCGUAAAGCUCUGUCAGCGGGGAAGAAACACGGUUCGCGAGAACCGCGGACGGUACCCGACCAAGAAGCCCCGGCUAACUACGUGCCAGCAGCCGCGGUAAUACGUAGGGGGCAAGCGUUAUCCGGAUUUACUGGGUGUAAAGGGAGCGUAGACGGCUGUGCAAGUCUGAAGUGAAAUGCCGGGGCCCAACCCCGGGACUGCUUUGGAAACUGUACAGCU